This 484-nucleotide ribosomal RNA is filed under the name uncultured bacterium. RNAcentral's name for it is "partial 16S ribosomal RNA". It matches the Rfam family "Bacterial small subunit ribosomal RNA", at positions 29 to 507 of the family's 1533-position model. The record is from RNAcentral.
AUUGAACGCUGGCGGCAUGCUUUACACAUGCAAGUCGAACGGCAGCGCGGGCUUCGGCCUGGCGGCGAGUGGCGAACGGGUGAGUAAUGCAUCGGAACGUGCCCAGUAGUGGGGGAUAGCCCGGCGAAAGCCGGAUUAAUACCGCAUACGACCUGAUGGUGAAAGCGGGGGACCGAAAGGCCUCGCGCUAUUGGAGCGGCCGAUGUCGGAUUAGCUAGUUGGUGGGGUAAAGGCUUACCAAGGCGACGAUCCGUAGCUGAUCUGAGAGGACGACCAGCCACACUGGAACUGAGACACGGCCCAGACUCCUACGGGAGGCAGCAGUGGGGAAUUUUGGACAAUGGGGGCAACCCUGAUCCAGCCAUGCCGCGUGAGGGAAGAAGGCCUUCGGGUUGUAAAACGCUUUUGUUCGGGAAGAAAUCCUCUGGGCUAAUACCCCGGGGGGAUGACGGUACCGGAAGAAUAAGCACCGGCUAACUACGUG